RNAcentral lists this long non-coding RNA (4283 nucleotides) under Musa acuminata (dwarf banana). Its description in RNAcentral is "long non-coding RNA (MACU_LNC006470)". The record is from RNAcentral. Lineage: Eukaryota; Viridiplantae; Streptophyta; Magnoliopsida; Zingiberales; Musaceae.
AUGAAGCUUGUAAGGGUUGUCUCCCAAACCUGUGAAAAGGAGAAAGAGUGUAAAAGGGUAGUUGGUCUUUGCCUAUUGAAGGAAGACCGGUAGUGGAAGCCGGUGGCCUCGAGUGAAGAGGAAUCUAUAAUGGAUGUAGGUCACGACGACCGAACCACUAUAAAUCGAUUUGCAUUUUUGUUUUGCUAUUUUCCUUUAUUGCAAACUGCUUUACUUCCUCAUUAAUUUAGCUGCACACUCUUACGAACGUUUUCAAAGUUAAACAUUGUCGAAACGAUUUUAUCGUACGAAGAUUUUCAACUCGACGUGAUUUUUACAUACCAUUAAUUCACCCCCAACACCCCCCUCCCACCCCCCCUCCCCCCCCACCCUCUCAUUCGAUCCUAAUAGUUGGUAUCAGAGUCACGUUUUUCUCAUUUUGGUUAACACCAAAGAGAAAUAACUCUUUUAUAUGAAGCCAAGUGACAUGUACACUCGUUUUACGGAUGUCGUCAAUAGUUUAAAAGCACUUAGUAAAAGCUUUUUAAAUCUUGAACUUGUCAAUAAAAUUCUACGUUCUCUCCCUAAAAAUUGAGAUCCUAAAGUAACUGUAAUAUAAGAGGUAAAAGACUUAAAUAAGUUCUCACUCGAAGAACUUUUUGAGUCAUUAAUGACCUAUUAAAUGAUGUGCAAGACACAUGAUGAACUUGAUGAACAUGAGAACAACCUUUCAAAGAAUAGGAAAGAUUUGACACUUCAAACAAUAGAAUACCACUUGAGUGAUAACUCUAAGUGAUGAUGAUGAUGACCUUGAACUUCUCACAAUAAAAUUUAAAAAGUUCUUAAAACAAAAAUCAAAGAAUAAAAAUAAACUUAAAAAGAAGAAUCUGCCAAAGAAGAAGAAAGUUUUCGAGGUUGCUUGGGACGAAUCGAGCUCAUUCGAAGACGAGAGGCAAACCAACAAAGACAAGGUGACGAAUUAUGUCUUAAUGACUUUCGACAACGAGAUAACCAAAACCCCCUUAGUUUACUAGGAAAUUACUUGAUGCAUUUCAUAAAUUGUUUUUAAAUUAGUAUAUAAAAUAUAAAAAAAUAAAUAAAAGAGGAUCAUGCUUUUCUUGCUAGUGUUUUUGAAAAAUUAAAAAAAAUUGAUCAUGACAUUUGUUUUUCUUUAUGAUAAAGGAUCAAAGUAUUAGAUUUAAAUCUAAUGCUUGUACACCUAAUAAUAUUAAUCGUAUGUAUGCUUUUAAGAAACAAUAAUGUGUAUCUUGAUGAUUUUUGUAUUGCUUUUUUAUUUUGAUUGAAAAUACUUUAUGUUUAAUAAAAACAUGUUUGCUGUUUUAACGAUGUAAUGAAGUAAUAAUAUGUAUAUUCUCAUAUUGCUUUUCAAUUAUAAAUGAUGAUGCAUGGCCUUUGUAUGAAAAACUAGAGCAUGAAAUCAAUCAUAAAAUUUGGAACUAAAAGAACUAGAGUUAUUUUUAAUCUUAUAGGAAUCUAUCUACGUUGCUUUCAUUGAAUUUUUCGAAAAGUAAUUUUGAUGAUGAUUCAUUUUAAUAAUGAGAUGAUAUAUAUCCAAAUGAAUCAUUUAUCGAUGUUUGCGACAUGAGAUUUAUUUUAUAUGAAAUAUUUUUUCUUGAUUCACGUAUGAUUUACUCGUCUAAGAGAAGAUUUAUCCAAAUGAAUCUUGAUUCUUGACAUUAAUAAUUUAAGAUUUAUUUGAAUCAAAAUAUCUUAUUUGAUCUCCUAUGAUUCUAUUCAUUAUUUAUUAAAAAGGAGAUUUGUGAAGAUGAAUCAUUCAUGAAUUGAUCUUUCAUAUUAAUAUCUUUCAUGUCAUUUUUUUUAUAUGACUCAUUUGUAAUUAUGAUUUGUAUUUCUCAUGAUAUAAUUGAAUCAUUGAUUAAAAAAAAAGAUAGAUUAAUGAAUCUAUCUAUGUCUUUUUUUAAUAAAUCUCUUGAAAAUGAUUUUGAUGAUUUGACGAUUUGAAUUUGAAUUAGUCUUAUCUAUAACAUGAUCUUAAUUUUUUUUGAAUUAUAACAUGAUAUUUUUUAUGAAUUAAGAUCAUUUACUAUGACUCUUCCUUUCGCUGUUUGAGUCAUCCAAAAAGAAUCAUAAUUUUUCUCUUAAUUUUUCGACAUUCACAAUUUGAAAUUUGGUUCAUGACUCUAUUCAUGAAGUAUAUAUCUCAUCAUCCAAUUAUUUUUUUCUUGAUAUUUUUCAUGUGAUGAUAUGAAAUUUUGCAUGAAAUACUCAUGAUAUUAUGUUGAUGCAUUCAAAUGAGAAGUUAUGAUCUAUGCUUGGUAGGAUGCAAUGUAAUUUGAUAUUUUGAUAUCAUCAUAAUUUGAAAUAUUUAUGAUUUGGAAUGAUACAUACAAUACUUAUGAUUUUUUUAUGAAAUGAUGUGAAAGUUAACAACUAUCAUUUUCUGAAAUGAUACCUUAUUUCAGUAUGCCAUAUUGAAAUAAGACUGAUACUUUAUCCUUCUCAUGAUUUAGAAUUUGAUGUAAAGGGAAAAGAAUUACAACAUUGUAUUCUUCCCUUCUUUUUGAUAAUGAUAAAAUGGGAGAAAAAUUUGCUAACUUGCACAUUACAAAAGGAAAACUUGCUAGGAAGCAAAAUUGCUAGAUUGCACUUCUCAAAAGAGAUGAAAGAGCUUGUUAUCUUGAACAUCACCAAGAAUUACUAGAUUGCAAUCUCAAGAGAAGCAAAAGUGUUAUCUUGCUUAUCUCAAGAAGCAAUUCUCGCAAACUUUCAUAUCUCAAAAAAAGAAGCUAAAUUUACAAACUUGCACAACUUAAAAUUGUUGCUAGUUUGUAUGUUGUAAAACUUACAUAUCUUAAAAACUUACUGGAUGCACUUCUCUUUUUUUGUUGAUGACAAAGGAGGAGAAGUAAUGAGGAUGAUUUGAAUCAUGUGUGGUAUGAUGCAUUUUUAUAUUUUGAAACAUUGCAUGAUUUUUUGAAUUUAAAGGUUCUAUCAAUAUGACAUAUUUAUAGGGGGGUUAAGGUUAACUCCGUCAUCAAUUGGUUGCCAUCAUAAAAAAAGGGAAGAUUGUUGAAUCUCAGAUUUUGAUGAUGAAACCAAUUGAUAAUGUUAUGAUCUAAUCUGUAUUUUGAGUGACGCAGGACUAGCUUCGAUCAGGAGAGACAAAUUGAUUAAAGCAGGAGGAAUCGGAUGUUGGGCCGGAGUUAAACAUAUCAGAAGAUUGGACGUCGGGCCGGAGGAUCGGUAGACGUGUCGACAGAAGGCUUCGUGCCGUGAAUUCGAGCAUCGGGCCGAAAGAUCGGAUAUUGAGCCAAGGAGAUCGAAAGUUGCGGGUGUCAACAUGCCGAUUGGGCAAUACGCCGAAGGAUCAGACGAAGUAUCGGAAGAACCAAUGACAUGUCGGACAACGGAUGAUUUGUGCUUUGUAAUAAUUUGUCUAUCUCGAGUUAGUUUAGGUCGUAAUUGGGUUAGUUUAGAAUGCAAUUAAGUCAAUUCAAUUAGGGUCCAAUUGGGCCCAAAGUAGGAUUGUUUUGGGCCAAGAGAGAGACCCAUUUAGUGACCCAAAAAUUAGGUCAGGCGAUGGCACCGCUAGUGGCUCAAUCUCCGAGACACGGUCUCCAAGAUUGUGUCAGGCAAUAGUACCGCCAGAUUGAGCGGUGGUACCACCUAGACCACCGCCUAGUAUGGCGGUACUAUUGCCCAGACACAAUCUUCCAAUUUGUGUCAAGCGGUGGUAUCGCCCAGUGUCAGUGCUGCAUGCAGUAGUAUCGCUCAACACAGGCGUUGGUACCGCCAAGACCCGGGAAACCCAGGAUGAGAACUCUUUUGGCUCUAAUUUUGAAGUUAUUUGGGGUCUAUAAAUACCCCAGCUAUUCCUGCAUGGAGAAAUAAGAAUUUGAGCAGAAAUGUGUUGUUAUUCUAAGUUGAAAAAGUGCUAAAUGUCCUCAUCUUUAAGUUUCGGGCUUAGUCUAAAAGAGGUGUGAGGCUUGUAAGGGUUGUCUCUUAAACCCGUGAAGAGAAGAAAAUGUGUAAAAGGGUAGUUGGUCUUUGCCUAUUGAAGGAAGACCGGUAGUGGAAGCCGAUGGCCUCAAGUGAAGAGGAAUCGAUAGUGGAUGUAGGUCACGACGAUCGAACCACUAUAAAUCGGUUUGUAUUUCUGUUUUGCUAUUUUCCUUUAUUGCAAACUGCUUUACUUCCUCGUUACUUUAGUUACAUGCUCUUACGAACGCUUUCAAAGUUAAACAUUGUCGAAAUGAUUUUAUCGUAUGAAGUUUUCGACUCGACGUGAUUUUUACGUACACAUUCCCCCCCUUUUAGUGCAG